CUGAACUGGGAGAGUAGACACAGGAUUGGGGGAGGAUCUUAAGGGACAGAAUCAUCCUGAAUCAUCCUGAUGAAGGCAGGCACUGAGAGUUUGCUAGGAUACCUUCCCGUCGGCACUGUAACUCUGACAGAGAGAACACGUGGCAAAGACAUCCUAGGCAGGCAGAGCAGCCCAAGCUAAGGCCAGGAGAGGAGCCAACAGCUUUGGCGUCCAGAGGAGCUGUGUAUGGGACAACUUUCCAGCAUGGUGCAGGACCUGUGUGACAUGAGGUAUGGCCAGAUCAGAAUCUCCAAGGCCACAUGAGGUACUUCAAAGAACCCUGGCAGCCCACAAGGAAAUGUGUUUAUCUCAAAGGCACUUGGCAGAGCUAGUACAACCGGGGCCAAGCUGGUAGAAAGACCCCAUUUCUCAACCCAGCUUUCUACACGGAAUUAUUUAGAAGGAAACUUUAUCAGACGGCCUUCCAGCUCCACGUCAUCCAUCUUG
Molecule: non-coding RNA, 486 nt
Organism: Peromyscus maniculatus bairdii (prairie deer mouse)
Lineage: Eukaryota; Metazoa; Chordata; Mammalia; Rodentia; Cricetidae
Source: RefSeq, a predicted model, not a curated record